AUAUCCUACUUGGUUGGAUUUGCCUUGUUUUUUUUUAAAACAUUUCUAAAGUUGUCGUUGAUUCAGAAAUUUACAUUCUACUUCUUGGAUUGCAUAAUCACUAUACAUUUGCAUAAGAGUACCUUCUUCCAAAUGACUUCAAACCAAGGAACGAUGGCAUCCACCAACGAAGCACCAAUUCCACACAUCCAAAUACACCAACUAAAAAAAUUUCAAAGAGAUUGGACUAUUCUUGUUGUUAUCCUAAGAACUAUCGAGUCAUCUUAUGAGAACAACAAAGGAUCAGGAAAACUACUAAAAUUAUUUUUUGCCGACUCAGAGGUAAUGUAGCAAAAUUCUACAUGCUAUAAUUCUAUUGAUAUUUGUUGAUACUUAUUCUUAA
Long non-coding RNA from Asparagus officinalis (garden asparagus), 382 nucleotides. RefSeq lists it as uncharacterized. The record is from RefSeq and is a predicted model, not a curated record. The transcript is spliced from 3 exons. Lineage: Eukaryota; Viridiplantae; Streptophyta; Magnoliopsida; Asparagales; Asparagaceae.